Molecule: ribosomal RNA, 802 nt
Filed under: Pseudomonas sp. C1(2013)
Lineage: Bacteria; Pseudomonadati; Pseudomonadota; Gammaproteobacteria; Pseudomonadales; Pseudomonadaceae
Description: bacterial SSU rRNA
Rfam family: Bacterial small subunit ribosomal RNA
Source: RNAcentral
CGCGGACGGGUGAGGUAAAUGCCCUAGGGAAUCUGCCUGGUAUCGGGGGAUAACGUUUCCGAAAGGAACGCUAAUACCGCGUACGUCCUACGGGAGAAAGCAGGGGACCUUCGGGCCUUGCGCUAUCAGAUGAGCCUAGGUCGGAUUAGCUAGUUGGUGAGGUAAUGGCUCACCAAGGCGACGAUCCGUAACUGGUCUGAGAGGAUGAUCAGUCACACUGGAACUGAGACACGGUCCAGACUCCUACGGGAGGCAGCAGUGGGGAAUAUUGGACAAUGGGCGAAAGCCUGAUCCAGCCAUGCCGCGUGUGUGAAGAAGGUCUUCGGAUUGUAAAGCACUUUAAGUUGGGAGGAAGGGCAGUAAGUUAAUACCUUGCUGUUUUGACGUUACCGACAGAAUAAGCACCGGCUAACUUCGUGCCAGCAGCCGCGGUAAUACGAAGGGUGCAAGCGUUAAUCGGAAUUACUGGGCGUAAAGCGCGCGUAGGUGGUUCGUUAAGUUGGAUGUGAAAGCCCCGGGCUCAACCUGGGAACUGCAUCCAAAACUGGCGAGCUAGAGUACGGUAGAGGGUGGUGGAAUUUCCUGUGUAGCGGUGAAAUGCGUAGAUAUAGGAAGGAACACCAGUGGCGAAGGCGACCACCUGGACUGAUACUGACACUGAGGUGCGAAAGCGUGGGGAGCAAACAGGAUUAGAUACCCUGGUAGUCCACCGCCGUAAACGAUGUCAAACUAGCCGUUGGAAUCCUUGAGAUUUAAGUGGCGCAGCUAACGCAUUAAGUUGACCGGCUGGGGAGUACGGGCG